UACGUAGGUGGCAAGCGUUGUCCGGAAUUACUGGUCGUAAAGCGCGUGUAGGCGGCUUGGCAAGUCGGAUGUGAAAGCCCACGGCUCAACCGUGGAAGCGCAUCCGAAACUGCUUCGCUUGAGUCUCGGAGAGGAAGGUGGAAUGCUUGGUGUAGAGGUGAAAUUCGUAGAUAUCAAGCAGAACACCUGCGGCGAAGGCGGCCUUCUGGACGAUGACUGACGCUGAGACGCGAAAGCGUGGGGAGCAAACAGG
RNAcentral lists this ribosomal RNA (253 nucleotides) under uncultured bacterium. RNAcentral's name for it is "partial 16S ribosomal RNA". It matches the Rfam family "Bacterial small subunit ribosomal RNA", at positions 524 to 776 of the family's 1533-position model. The record is from RNAcentral.